RNAcentral lists this ribosomal RNA (429 nucleotides) under Actinomycetes bacterium. RNAcentral describes it as "Actinobacteria bacterium partial 16S ribosomal RNA". It matches the Rfam family "Bacterial small subunit ribosomal RNA", at positions 355 to 776 of the family's 1533-position model. The record is from RNAcentral. Lineage: Bacteria; Bacillati; Actinomycetota; Actinomycetes.
UAGGGAAUCUUCCGCAAUGGGCGAAAGCCUGACGGAGCAACGCCGCGUAAGUGAUGAAGGUCUUGGGAUCGUAAAACUCUGUUAUUAGGGAAGAACAAAUGUGUAAGUAACUAUGCACGUCUUGACGGUACCUAAUCAGAAAGCCACGGCUAACUACGUGCCAGCAGCCGCGGUAAUACGUAGGUGGCAAGCGUUAUCCGGAAUUAUUGGGCGUAAAGCGCGCGUAGGCGGUUUUUUAAGUCUGAUGUGAAAGCCCACGGCUCAACCGUGGAGGGUCAUUGGAAACUGGAAAACUUGAGUGCAGAAGAUGAAAGUGUAAUUCCAUGUGUAGCGGUGAAAUGCGCAGAGCUAUGGAGUAACACCAGUGGCGAAGGCGACUUUCUGGUCUAUAACUGACGCUGAUGUGCGGCAGCGUGGGGAUCAAACAGG